CUGGGGUAGGGAAUCCUCCAGAAAGAGGGAGACGUCAUUGUGAUGAGAAGGGAGCCUAAGAGCCCACAGCCAGGCCUGCAAGGGGGUGGAGAGUUCACAGCAGGGAGCUGUUUUCCAGCCCAACAGGCGAUGCAGCCUGGCCCAGGUAGCCAUGGAGAUGGAGUGAGGAGUUCUGCCGUUGCCUCCCUCUGAGAAUCGGACAACCCUCUUCAGUAUGAAGCAAGGCCCGGCUCAGAAGGGAGCAGUGGGAGCCUCCUGUGGGGAAGAAAAGAAGCAAGCAGCCCUCCAAUCUGCUCUCCCUGGGAGGAAGAAGAAAAGGGAGACUCCAUGUGUAAUUGCUAAUAAGUAGGCAUGACCGAGUCUUAACAAUAAUUAAAGUUACCAACUGAA
Cavia porcellus (domestic guinea pig) is the source of this 390-nucleotide long non-coding RNA. RefSeq lists it as uncharacterized. The record is from RefSeq and is a predicted model, not a curated record. Lineage: Eukaryota; Metazoa; Chordata; Mammalia; Rodentia; Caviidae. The transcript is spliced from 3 exons.